Molecule: ribosomal RNA, 424 nt
Filed under: uncultured bacterium
Lineage: Bacteria
Description: partial 16S ribosomal RNA
Rfam family: Bacterial small subunit ribosomal RNA
Source: RNAcentral
AAUUUUGGACAAUGGGGGAAACCCUGAUCCAGCAAUGCCGCGUGCAGGAUGAAGGUCUUCGGGUUGUAAACUGCUUUUGUACGGAACGAAAAGUCUUGGGCUAAUACCUUGGGAUCAUGACGGUACCGUAAGAAUAAGCACCGUCUAACUACGUGCCACCGGCCGCGGUAAUACGUAGGGUGCAAGCGUUAAUCGGAAUUACUGGGCGUAAAGCGUGCGCAGGCGGUUUUGGAAGGCAGUGGUGAAAGCCCCGGGCUCAACCUGGGAACUGCCAUUGUGACUGCAAGGCUGGAGUGCGGCAGAGGGGGAUGGAAUUCCGCGUGUAGCAGUGAAAUGCGUAGAUAUGCGGAGGAACACCGAUGGCGAAGGCGAUCCCCUGGGCCUGCACUGACGCUCAUGCACGAAAGCGUGGGGAGCAAACAGG